Passer domesticus (house sparrow) is the source of this 489-nucleotide long non-coding RNA. RefSeq lists it as uncharacterized. Lineage: Eukaryota; Metazoa; Chordata; Aves; Passeriformes; Passeridae. The transcript is spliced from 4 exons. The record is from RefSeq and is a predicted model, not a curated record.
AGAGACUCCUCUCCCUAAGUGACCUGAAAAAAGACUAAUCUAGGGGUGGAAAAGUGACUGAAAGGGAAAUUGUUGUGAAUACACAUCAAUGGGACACCUCUUCGCAGUCAUAUGUGAAUGAAUGAUGUGAAAUAAGGAGUUAUCUUUUCUUUGACUUUAUCCUGAACUAUUUCAGAGGACCAGAGGAAGACUAAUUUUCAUUCAGCAUAGUCCAGAUUCAGGGCUGCAAAGGAGUGAGAGGGUCUAAGAGACCAUACAAACUAUCAGGUGCCUUCAAUGGGAACAGAAAUUGGUUUAUGCUCAAAAGACAAAAAACCCAAAACAACCCUCCUUUCCUGAAAACGAGUUGCUCCAGCCUCAGUUUCUGCCAAGAUUUUUGAAAACUGUCAUAGCUGAAAGACACUGGUUUUGAGCACUCCUAUUUAAGGCAAAAGUUUAAAUGUCCCAAGACUUCGACGAAGUUUGAAAGACCCUCCAAAACACAAGUGU